RNAcentral lists this unclassified non-coding RNA (212 nucleotides) under Hevea brasiliensis (rubber tree). Lineage: Eukaryota; Viridiplantae; Streptophyta; Magnoliopsida; Malpighiales; Euphorbiaceae. The record is from RNAcentral.
GGGGAUGAAGAAGAGCUUGUUAAGGAGAACAUAAAGAACACUGCAUCGUCAACAGGGAAAAUCACCUUGGGCGUCACAAAUAGCAAGCCUGAAACAGGGGAGGUGAUUGGAGUGUUCGAGAGUAUUCAGCCAUCUGACACCGAUUUGGGGGCAAAGGUUCCAAAGGAAGUGAAGAUCCAAGGAGUCUGGUAUGCUCAACUGGAGUGAUGGGG